This 255-nucleotide ribosomal RNA is filed under the name uncultured bacterium. Its description in RNAcentral is "partial 16S ribosomal RNA". It matches the Rfam family "Bacterial small subunit ribosomal RNA", at positions 524 to 776 of the family's 1533-position model. The record is from RNAcentral.
UACGAAGGGGGGCUAGCGUUGUUCGGAAUCACUGGGCGUAAAGCGCACGUAGGCGGAUUGUUAAGUCAGGGGUGAAAUCCUGGAGCUCAACUCCAGAACUGCCUUUGAUACUGGCAAUCUCGAGUCCGGGAGAGGUGAGUGGAACUCCGAGUGUAGAGGUGAAAUUCGUAGAUAUUCGGAAGAACACCAGUGGCGAAGGCGGCUCACUGGCCCGGUACUGACGCUGAGGUGCGAAAGCGUGGGGGAGCAAACAGG